Molecule: ribosomal RNA, 541 nt
Filed under: Acrobeloides nanus
Lineage: Eukaryota; Metazoa; Nematoda; Chromadorea; Rhabditida; Cephalobidae
Description: eukaryotic LSU rRNA
Rfam family: Eukaryotic large subunit ribosomal RNA
Source: RNAcentral
UGACCCGUCUUGAAACACGGACCAAGGAGUCUAGCGUAUACGCGAGUCAUUGGGUGGAAAACCCAUAGGCGAAAUGAAAGUGAAGGUCUCUUUAUGAGGCUGAUAUGCGAUCCGUUGCACUACGGUGUACGCGGAGCAGCAUAGCCCCGCUCUCGACUGCUUGCAGUGGGGCGGAGGUAGAGCGUAUUCGCUGGUACCCGAAAGAUGGUGAACUAUGCCUGAGCAGGAUGAAGCCAGAGGAAACUCUGGUGGAGGUCCGAAGCGCUUCUGACGUGCAAAUCGAUCGUCUGACUUGGGUAUAGGGGCGAAAGACUAAUCGAACCAUCUAGUAGCUGGUUCCCUCCGAAGUUUCCCCCAGGAUAGCUGGAGCCUGUUAAAUUAGUUAUAGCUCGGUAAAGCGAACGAUUAGAGGACUUGGGGUCAAAAUGACCUUAAGCCUAUUCUCAAACUCUCAAUGGGUAUGAAGUCCUAGUUGCUUGAUUGAACUAGGACGUUGAAUAUAGGCUCCAAGUGGGCCAUUUUUGGUAAGCAGAACUGGCGA